UACGAAGGGGGCUAGCGUUGCUCGGAAUCACUGGGCGUAAAGGGUGCGUAGGCGGGUCUUUAAGUCGGGGGUGAAAUCCUGGAGCUCAACUCCAGAACUGCCUUUGAUACUGAGGAUCUUGAGUUCGGGAGAGGUGAGUGGAACUGCGAGUGUAGAGGUGAAAUUCGUAGAUAUUCGCAAGAACACCAGUGGCGAAGGCGGCUCACUGGCCCGAUACUGACGCUGAGGCACGAAAGCGUGGGGAGCAAACAGG
This 253-nucleotide ribosomal RNA is filed under the name uncultured bacterium. RNAcentral describes it as "partial 16S ribosomal RNA". It matches the Rfam family "Bacterial small subunit ribosomal RNA", at positions 524 to 776 of the family's 1533-position model. The record is from RNAcentral.